CAAGCCAUGCACUAGGAUGAAAAUUGGUGUUUUGAAGCAUGGAUUUACCAGAGAUUCCCUAGGGAGCAGAAGGAGUUAAUGCUGUUUUCCAGCCCGCCUAAUUUACUCCAAAAGGAAUAGGCAGCAGCAAAUGAAGCUGCUGGUGCUGCUGGGUCACGUUAUCAGCAAAUAACAGCAUAAUUGCCCUAACCUUUAACCACUGCCAGUUGGGAGCCAUGGAAGGGUUUGGACAUUACUGAAGCAGUCACCCAUGACCUUCUAACCCUCUACUCCUCCCACUGUGCCCUGGUUGCCUCCUAGAAGUGAUACAUUUCCUGACCUCCUGUGAUCUGGUCAACAAAUACCAGUGAAAGUAUAGAAAGUCGCUUCCAUGUAUAAUACUCCUACACACAGAGGUACACACCUCUGUGUACAUGCUUCCACUUAUUUUUCUAUCUUUGGUUCAGAAGAAACAAUUGCAAUAGAACCUUGGAAUCAAAGUUUCAGGAUCCGUGUUUGUAAUGGAAGAGGUGGAGAUUCUGGUUCAACCCAGAAUAACUGUGUAAUUGACCAGUACUGAUGUUUGCGAAGAGGCGGUGUGUUCAAUCUCAGGAGAUGUUACAAAAGAAGCAUUAUCGAAAGAGAACAGUAGAUGGAUGUCAGAGGCAGAUGAUUUAAGACUCCUUAAAACCUGAGGUUCAUGAUUCAGCGCACACUGGAAGCAUUCAGAUGGUGUUUAUUACACAAACACUAUGCACUCAGCAGGAAUUUGGGAGCCCUGUGGUCUCCUUAACAAGGUAUAAUGGAGAUGCUAAGGAGCUGAACUAGAAAAAAAAAGAAUAAGAAAUAUUUUAGACAAGGAAAAACUAGACAAAUUUCAGCAAAUGUUUCAUAUGCAGAGGCUUGUGAAAGGGAAACUGACAUGGACACAAGGUGCUUGUUCAAAGGAAGGAAGUUUAGGAAGCGUCACUCAACUGUGGAACCUAUACUUCAACACAUUUUCCUAGAAUGAGUCCAGGGAACGAGGACACCAAUGACAACAGGGCAAAAAACAGAGCCUAUCUCUAUUUGAUAGUAGUAAUAUUAGUAGUUAUCGUGGUAUAGGAUGAAACCUGUAGAUAGCACAUGAUGAGUUCAAGUUUGAUUUCCUUGGUGACAAUGCUGUAAGCGUGUCCUCACAACGAAUUUUAGAUAAGCUAACAGCAAAUUCACUUCCAUCCCCAAUUUACCUGCUAACAAAUUUCAGCUCUUCCCCUGUCUUUGUCCAUCUAUCCUUUAAUUUAAAAAGCCUCUAGAGUACACAGCAACAGUAAUAAAGAGAAAAUAACAAAGAUCACAAUUCCAGGAAGUAUACAUUUCAGAAGAUAAGAGAGAUGACAGGAAAGUAAUUGUGCCCUCAUUGUGUGUGAUUGGUUAGCAGAAAUAUGAACCUCAAUUAUAACAUGAAGGAAAUUUUGGAAAUAUCAUAGUAAAAUGCCUUAAGAAGAACUGGGAUUUCCAAGGAAUUGAUGGAGCAAAAUUUGAUCCAAGCAGAAGCUUCAUUCCAAGGAAAGAAAACAAAUAAGACCAAGGAGUCAAGCUGCAUUUGGUAUGAAAUGUGGGCAGAGAGUCUCAUUUAUUCUUUAAAAGCGGAACAAGCAUACCCUUGGGAGGGAAUAGGGAGGCAAAGUUUAGAAAAGAGGCUGAAGGAACACCCAUUUAGAGCCUGCCCCACACGUGGCCCAUACAUAUACAGCCACCAAACUAGAUAAGAUGGAUGAAGCAAGGAAGUGUAGACUGACAGGAACUGGAUAUAGAUCUCUUCUGAGAGACACAGCCAGAAUACAACAAAUACAGAGGCAAAAGCCAGCAGCAAACGACUGAACUGAGAAUGGGACCCCCGUUGAAGGAUUCAGAGAAAGGACUGAAAGACCUUGAAGGGGAUUGAGACCCCAUAUGAACAACAAUGCCAAGCAACCAGAGCUUCCAGGGACUAAGCCACUACCCAAAGACUAUACAUGGACUAUACCCUGGGCUCUAACUGCAUAGGUAGCAAUGAAUAGCCUAG
Rattus norvegicus (Norway rat) is the source of this 2026-nucleotide non-coding RNA. Lineage: Eukaryota; Metazoa; Chordata; Mammalia; Rodentia; Muridae. The record is from RefSeq and is a predicted model, not a curated record.